UGACUCAUCUCACUCAGCAGGGGGAUGACCCAUCCUCAGGGAGUGAAGGAAGGGGAGGAGGUGACUCCAGCCGAUCGCCAUGGAAAUAACUGCCAUGAGGACCGAGGUUUGAUCUGUACUGUUGUCUGCUGAACCUGUUCUGCUGAUGAGCUCGACAUGAGCAAUGGUGACCUAGACCCGUGGUCAGGAGAUAGAGUUACUGAAGAUCUCUCUGAUACUCUGGUGGCAGUCAGCAUCCCAGAGAGGGUCCGUUAUUUAGAUCUGCGAUCCAGCACCCACAUAGAUCCGCCAUCCUUGCAGAUAGCUCGCUCGGUGGAAGUCAGACACAUGAAGCAAUGAAUCUCAACUUUCUAUGGCAACUACAGAAGGCAUCCCUGAGCAACUUUUAAAUAUCACCAUUUUUACUCUCCUUUUUUGUUCCCUCCACCUACGUACCCGUAUUCAC
This 445-nucleotide long non-coding RNA is filed under the name Rattus norvegicus (Norway rat). Its description in RNAcentral is "long non-coding RNA NONRATT000960". Lineage: Eukaryota; Metazoa; Chordata; Mammalia; Rodentia; Muridae. The record is from RNAcentral.